This 2459-nucleotide long non-coding RNA is filed under the name Olea europaea subsp. europaea. Lineage: Eukaryota; Viridiplantae; Streptophyta; Magnoliopsida; Lamiales; Oleaceae. The record is from RNAcentral.
GAAGAAAGAAACAGGAAGAAGUAAAAGUCAAAAAUAUAUUCAACAACAUUCAAAACAGGAGAUGAACAAUUAAGAUAGAAAGCAAGUAAUACAAAAAAAUAUAUUCAAAACAUUAAUAAUCCAUGUUAUCAGGGCAUUUGACAAUCGGAAUACACAAUGUCAUUCAAGUAUACGUGUCACUUAAAGGUGUCGAAUUCUGACACAUUUGCCUGUUAUGUCCAGAACCCCCACAUCGGCCGCAUUUUCGAGUCAAAGUCGACCUUUCAAUUCUUGACCAUAGAAGUUGGGUAGGAGGUUGACCUGGUGCUCUACGUAUAUUCGGGGGCAAAACUUCGACGGAAUGAAUAGACUGAGGAACAACCCAAUCUGACUCUCGGCCAACGGGGUGAAGAACUUCGUUGUACGCAACUCGUCAAUAUUCUGUGGUAUAGUAAGGGGAGCACAAAUCAUACAAUAAUUUUUCUUUUGCUCAAGCAGCUCGGGAUGCAUGUGAACAUGGGAUUUGUGGCAUCUAAAACUCUCAACAUGAACAUGUGUUACUUAUAAGGUCGACAGUACAAAGUUCGGUAGUUACACCUACCUCAAAAACGAGUUCGCCCAAAUUUUGUACUGGUAAAGUUGCACCGACGUCGAAUGAUUUUAUCAAUUCAUCAUCAAUUUUUGGUGUCACAGUCGUACUACAUUUCGUAGAUGCGCUUUUUCUCUCGUAGAACCAUCGUUGCAUCAAUGACGUAAUAUUUUCGACCAACGAAGUUAUAGGGAAACUUCGUUGUUGCCUUAGGACUGAAUUCAGUGACUCUGCAAUGUUAUUCGUCAUAACGUUGUACUAAUUACCAACAAAAUUUGCCCGUGACCAGGUGGAUAUACCGGCACGUUCCAAGUAAGAUGUCAUUGACGGUCGAAUGAUUCUUAUUUGUCUCAUGAACUGAUCAAAUUCCGAUACGCGGUAUACUAGCGCUGCCCGCUUGAACAAGAAUAUGACAUUGCUACUGCUAUACCUAGCAAUAAGAUUUUUCUCGAUAUGCCAGAUGUAGGCACCGUGGUGAAAAAGCGGGAACAACCUCCUAAUUGCCUGCUUAAUACUCUUCUUCCUAUCCAACACAAACACUAGCUGGUUUGAAUCAUCAACAUCUUUCAACUUCACAAAGAACCAAUACCAUGAUGCAUUUGUUUCCCUAUCGACAACACUCCAAGCAAGAGGAUAUAUUUGUAGAUUAGCAUCUUGCUCUGCAGCUACUAAUAGUAUUCCCUUAUAUUGGUCCUUCAAAUGACUUUCAUCAACACAAAUUACUGACCUCAUGUACUCUCGAAAAUCACAUACACUAGGCCCGAACGCUAAGAAGAAGUACAAAAACCUAUUAUUCGAGUCGAGUUCAAUAUGUGCAAUAGUUCCUGAAUUUUUCUCGGUUAACAUGUGACAGUAUGAUGGCAAUUUCUGAAAACUUUCUUCGGGUGUACCACGAAGAAAUCAAAGUCCCUUCUCUUUAGCCCUCCCUUUGUUGUAGGUAAUCCGUACACCAAACUCACGUUUCAUAUCCCCAAUAAUACCUGCAGGAAUAUAUGAUUGGUUUGCAUCAUCCAACUUUCGCAUUAUGUGAUGCCCAAUUACUCCAUUCGUUGCAUAAAUUUGUGCAUUUCGUAGAACGUCUCGAGAACAUGUGUGCUCAGGUAUGUACUCUCGAAUCUUAAAUAUUUCUGAAAUUUUUAUCUUAGAAGCUCGCACUAGCUAAUGGCAUGUAGUAUCAACACAACACACAUUAAGAGAUCUAGGGUUCGACUUUUUAAUCUUGAAAUGAAACUUCUCUUUCAAAGUCUUAAGUUGAAGCCUUGUGUGUAACCGUUGCUUACUAAAGAAUAUCUUAUUCUUCACAAUGUCCUCUUUACCAAUCGGCUCAAUUGCAUUUCGAAUAAACAAAUUCUCUUCACCUAAACCUUCAUCCGUAUUAUCAAUCGUUCGUAGCUCUUGUAGUUCGCACAUACCGACUUCGUCGCGUCCACACAAUGCAUCUUCUAUUGGUGACAAAGGCUCAACUCCGACAUGCAGUUCGUGCUCUCCAACAUUAUGUUCAUCUGCAAUUACACACAAUGCCGCUUCUGUGUGAAUAGACAUAAACCAUUGCAAAUCCUCAUCGUCGACUACAGCAGGGGGUAUAUUCAUGUUCGGAACUGUAAAUUUUAAUUGAAUUCGAAACUUCAUUCUGUCAACAUUCAGCUUCUCGAAUAAUUUAUGUACAAGCUCUUCGUAUGUAACAUCAUGUCGAACAACAAUUGAUGUUGUUCGGUUCCUUAACCACUUCCACCAAUCGUCCAUGUUGAUGAAUCUACUACCAUACGAGACAACAAAUCUCUUAACAUCUCCAAUAUCUGCAUUUCAUAAACAACAAUACUGUCACUAAUGAAAACCAAAAACGAAAAUGCUACCUGCAUGCAAUAUGUGAAACGCUAUACACGAAAUUUUU